This 403-nucleotide ribosomal RNA is filed under the name Acanthamoeba genotype T4. RNAcentral's name for it is "SSU rRNA". It matches the Rfam family "Eukaryotic small subunit ribosomal RNA", at positions 795 to 1095 of the family's 1831-position model. The record is from RNAcentral. Lineage: Eukaryota; Discosea; Longamoebia; Acanthamoebidae.
AUUUUCUGCCACCGAAUACAUUAGCAUGGGAUAAUGGAAUAGGACCCUGUCCUCCUAUUUUCAGUUGGUUUUGGCAGCGCGAGGACUAGGGUAAUGAUUAAUAGGGAUAGUUGGGGGCAUUAAUAUUUAAUUGUCAGAGGUGAAAUUCUUGGAUUUAUGAAAGAUUAACUUCUGCGAAAGCAUCUGCCAAGGAUGUUUUCAUUAAUCAAGAACGAAAGUUAGGGGAUCGAAGACMAUCAGAUACCGUCGUAGUCUUAACCAUAAACGAUGCCGACCAGCGAUUAGGAGACGUUGAAUACAAAACACCACCAUCGGCGCGGUCGUCCUUGGCGUCUCGGUCCUUCACGGGGCCGGGGCGCGAGGGCGGCUUAGCCCGGUGGCACCGGUGAAUGACUCCCCUAGC